UUCCCUGGUGUGAAUAAAGGAACAUGAGC
This 29-nucleotide non-coding RNA is filed under the name Rattus norvegicus (Norway rat). Lineage: Eukaryota; Metazoa; Chordata; Mammalia; Rodentia; Muridae. The record is from RNAcentral.